RNAcentral lists this long non-coding RNA (201 nucleotides) under Carica papaya (papaya). Its description in RNAcentral is "long non-coding RNA (CPAP_LNC012327)". Lineage: Eukaryota; Viridiplantae; Streptophyta; Magnoliopsida; Brassicales; Caricaceae. The record is from RNAcentral.
GAGCUACAAGAGUAAUAUUUUUUUUCCUAUAAAAUGUAAAAAUAUUGACUUAGUGUGAAUCAUUUUUUUCGUUUUAUGGAGAAAUACGAAUCAUGUUUUUUUUCUUCUUUUAAAAUGAAAUUAUAAUAACAGUGGAAGUGAAUUUUACCAAAAAGAAAAGGAAAAACAACAUUAAAGGUGGGGUGGGUGUAUGAAAAAAAU